ACGAGGUAGAUAGGGCAGGAGUGGAAGUACAGUAAUGUAUGGAGCGGACUGCAACUAAUCGGUCGAGGGCAUGACCA
RNAcentral lists this ribosomal RNA (77 nucleotides) under Coprococcus sp. RNAcentral describes it as "partial 23S ribosomal RNA". Lineage: Bacteria; Bacillati; Bacillota; Clostridia; Lachnospirales; Lachnospiraceae. The record is from RNAcentral.